UAGGGAAUCUUCCACAAUGGGCGCAAGCCUGAUGGAGCAACACCGCGUGAGUGAAGAAGGGUUUCGGCUCGUAAAGCUCUGUUGUUAGAGAAGAACGUGCGUGAGAGCAACUGUUCACGCAGUGACGGUAUCUAACCAGAAAGUCACGGCUAACUACGUGCCAGCAGCCGCGGUAAUACGUAGGUGGCAAGCGUUAUCCGGAUUUAUUGGGCGUAAAGCGAGCGCAGGCGGUUUGAUAAGUCUGAUGUGAAAGCCUUUGGCUUAACCAAAGAAGUGCAUCGGAAACUGUCAGACUUGAGUGCAGAAGAGGGCAGUGGAACUCCAUGUGUAGCGGUGGAAUGCGUAGAUAUAUGGAAGAACACCAGUGGCGAAGGCGGCUGCCUGGUCUGCAACUGACGCUGAGGCUCGAAAGCAUGGGUAGCGAACAGGAUUA
RNAcentral lists this ribosomal RNA (433 nucleotides) under uncultured Lactobacillus sp. RNAcentral describes it as "bacterial SSU rRNA". It matches the Rfam family "Bacterial small subunit ribosomal RNA", at positions 355 to 780 of the family's 1533-position model. Lineage: Bacteria; Bacillati; Bacillota; Bacilli; Lactobacillales; Lactobacillaceae. The record is from RNAcentral.